CCUACGGGAGGCAGCAGUGGGGGAUAUUGCACAAUGGGGGAAACCCUGAUGCAGCGACGCCGCGUGGGCGAAGAAGUAUUUCGGUAUGUAAAGCCCUAUCAGCAGGGAAGAAGAAAUGCCGUAACUUGAGUAAGAGGCACUGGCUAAAUACGUGCCAGCAGCCGCGGUAAUACGUAUGGUCCAAGCGUUAUCCGGAUUUACUGGGUUGAAAGGGAGCGCAGGCGGCACGGCAAGUCUGAGGUGAAAGCACGGGGCCCAACCCCGGGACUGCAUUUGGAAUGGCCGGGCUGGAGUGCCGGAGAGGUAGGCGGAAUGCCUAGUGUAGCGGUGAAAUGCGUAGAUAUUAGGAGGAACACCAGUGGCGAAGGCGGCCUACUGGACAGUGACUGACGUUGAGGCUCGAAAGCGUGGGGAGCAAACAGGAUUAGAUACCCGUGUAGUC
RNAcentral lists this ribosomal RNA (442 nucleotides) under uncultured bacterium. Its description in RNAcentral is "partial 16S ribosomal RNA". It matches the Rfam family "Bacterial small subunit ribosomal RNA", at positions 338 to 795 of the family's 1533-position model. The record is from RNAcentral.